RNAcentral lists this ribosomal RNA (420 nucleotides) under uncultured ammonia-oxidizing beta proteobacterium. RNAcentral's name for it is "bacterial SSU rRNA". It matches the Rfam family "Bacterial small subunit ribosomal RNA", at positions 196 to 597 of the family's 1533-position model. Lineage: Bacteria; Pseudomonadati; Pseudomonadota; Betaproteobacteria. The record is from RNAcentral.
UGGGAGGAAAGCAGGGGAUCGUAAGACCUUGCGCUUUUGGAGCGGCCGAUGUCUGAUUAGCUAGUUGGUGGGGUAAUGGCCUACCAAAGCUUCGAUCAGUAGCUGGUCUGAGAGGACGGCCAGCCACACUGGGACUGAGACACGGCCCAGACUCCUACGGGAGGCAGCAGUGGGGAAUUUUGGACAAUGGGCGCAAGCCUGAUCCAGCCAUGCCGCGUGAGUGAAGAAGGCCUUCGGGUUGUAAAGCUCUUUCAGCCGGGAAGAAAAGGCUGCGAUUAAUAAUCGCAGUUCAUGACGGUACCGGAAGAAGAAGCACCGGCUAACUACGUGCCAGCAGCCGCGGUAAUACGUAGGGUGCGAGCGUUAAUCGGAAUUACUGGGCGUAAAGGGUGCGCAGGCGGUUUUGUAAGUCAGAUGUGA